RNAcentral lists this ribosomal RNA (116 nucleotides) under Salinivibrio kushneri. The record is from RNAcentral. Lineage: Bacteria; Pseudomonadati; Pseudomonadota; Gammaproteobacteria; Vibrionales; Vibrionaceae.
CUUGGCGACCAUAGCGCUUUGGACCCACCUGACUCCAUGCCGAACUCAGUAGUGAAACGAAGCAGCGCCGAUGGUAGUGUGGGGUCUCCCCAUGUGAGAGUAGGACAUCGCCAGNA